AUAAACAUAGUCAAAUAAGCUUUCUUUGCUCUAGACCCCUAUUUCCACUUAAGCUCUUACUCUAGACAUCUAUUUUGAAUCAUUGCAGUGAAGAAUAUAUGCAUGAAGAUUACUUACCUCCUUUCCUUGUUUCCUUUUGCUUACCAUGGCUAGGAUUUGUUUUCCUCAAGAGAGACCAUACAUGCACAUUAAUUUGUUAGGACUUUUUCUAGCUUUUGGAUUGACUUGCCCUUACCUUGAAGUACUUUAUUCAGACUUUUGCACUUAGAUUUUCCUUGAAAAAUUCACCAACCUUUUGACGUGAAGGUACAUAUUUGUGAUACCCACCCCCAGUUACUCAGUUGGUCACCUUUCCAAGUGGCUACUAGCUUUGUUCUUAGUCUUUUGACCAUUGGAACAGUUUUUUGAUUUUGUGCUUUUGAGGUCUUUGCCUUUGCUGAAUUUUCUCUCUCAAUGAUUUGGGCAAAUCAACACCAAUUGCUAAAUCAAGUCACAUUAAGUUCAUUCACAUAACUUUCAAUUUAUUCUCUAAUGAGGGUCAUCAAUAUAUUUUUCACCAUGGCAAACUCAAAGAUUCAAUUCAAAAGGCAAUUCUCAAGCAUGAAUACAACUCACUGCAAUUGAUUCAACAUAAGUUUAAAGAGUCAUCACAUCAAUAGGGUCAUAGAAAGAAAAACUUAUCUAACGUAGUUCAUCAGUUUGAGUGGAGCAAAACAAAAAGAAGAAGAAGGUUGUGGUUGUGUGUGUUUUAUUGAAAGCAAAAACAAACUAAAAAUGAAAAAAUUUCAAUACUGUGGCUAAUCAAACUGAAAGAAGCGCAAAGCAUUGUGAAUUUGCAAAAGAAGAAAGGAAGAAGAAGAAGAAAAGAAAAGGGGAAGAAGAAAAGAAGGGGAGAAGAAGAAAUAUGCACCCCCACACUUAAAUCAUGCAUUGUCCUCAAUGUAUAAGAAACCUAAAAGAACAAAGGAAACUGAGUACUCCCCUAGGGUGUGGUGCCUAUUGCGAUUCACUU
This 1012-nucleotide long non-coding RNA is filed under the name Manihot esculenta (cassava). RNAcentral describes it as "long non-coding RNA (MESC_LNC001131)". Lineage: Eukaryota; Viridiplantae; Streptophyta; Magnoliopsida; Malpighiales; Euphorbiaceae. The record is from RNAcentral.